GCUGGGUAGCUAUGUACGGAAGGGAUAAGCGCUGAAAGCAUCUAAGCGUGAAGCCCCCCUCAAGAUGAGAUUUCCCAAUUAGUAAGACCCCUUGAAGACGACGAGGUAGAUAGGUUGGGGGUGGAAGUGCAGUAAUGCAUGGAGCUGACCAAUACUAAUCGGUCGAGGGCUUAUCCUAAA
Molecule: ribosomal RNA, 180 nt
Filed under: Paenibacillus sp. EKM212P
Lineage: Bacteria; Bacillati; Bacillota; Bacilli; Caryophanales; Paenibacillaceae
Description: partial 23S ribosomal RNA
Rfam family: Bacterial large subunit ribosomal RNA
Source: RNAcentral